RNAcentral lists this unclassified non-coding RNA (856 nucleotides) under Hevea brasiliensis (rubber tree). The record is from RNAcentral. Lineage: Eukaryota; Viridiplantae; Streptophyta; Magnoliopsida; Malpighiales; Euphorbiaceae.
GGUGAUAGUAGCUAUUGGUGAUUCUCGACGAAGGACUUUCUUGGAAACAAGCAUAUUGCCUCUAUAGUCUAUACCCACAUGACCAUAUAUAGGGCGAGGCAACCACAGAGAAGAGAAGCACGAAAAGUUGCACAGUAGCGAUCUAAAAAAGAAAAAUCAAGAUUUGGGUUUGGUUUGAUAUUUAGAGAAAAGAAAUGGGUUUCUCAGAGGUAGAGAAAGCAUGCAAGGAGCACCCAUACCACAAUCAAAAGCAAGGGGUUUGUCCAUCAUGUUUAAGAGAAAGAUUAUCUCAACUUUAUGUAGUUGUUUCAAGCAACAAAGAAGCAGUGGCACCAUCUUCUUCUUCGAUGUCUUUUUCCUCUGCUUCAUCUUCGACCCAUAUAUCUCCAGUUAUUCAUCAUCAUCGUCAUCAGCGAAACAUUUCUGAUAUUAUGGGUUCCUUAUCUUUCAGGGUAAGUGCAGGAAGUGGGUUAAAGAAGAGUAGAUCGAUUGCUUUUGUGUCGAGAAGCAGCCUUGUUGGAGAGUUGAAGCACGGGACGAAGAAGAAUAAGAAAGGUUUUUGGUCAAAGUUACUUCAUUUGAAGGGAAAGAAUAAGGAGGCUAAUAUUGGUGGAAAGAUCGCUUUGAAUGUAUAGACUUUGCUUCAAAAAAGGAAGGAGGGGUAGCGGUACCGAAGUUGUCUCCAUGGCUACGUGCUCUCAAGCUCUCGAGUUCGAGAUUCAGGAUUUCAAGUCCUUUAAUUUGAAUUAUAGUCAGAAUCAAUUGUACCAAACAAAAACAAAAAGAAGGGCUUUUAGAAACUAUAAGAUGUUUAUAUAGCUUUAUUUUGUGUUAUAUAUGAAAAUCUGGAUCUUUU